RNAcentral lists this transfer RNA (63 nucleotides) under Rhinebothriidae sp. DJM-2021. RNAcentral's name for it is "tRNA-Met". Lineage: Eukaryota; Metazoa; Platyhelminthes; Cestoda; Rhinebothriidea; Rhinebothriidae. The record is from RNAcentral.
AGGCAGGUAAGUUAAGUAAACUACGGGGUUCAUGUCCCCAUAAUAUGUUCAGCAUCCUGCCAA